AUCUCAGUUCAGAUUGCAGGCUGCAAUCGCCUGCAUGAAGUCGGAAUUGCUAGUAAUCGUAGGUCAGCAUACUACGGUGAAUACGUUCCCGGGCCUUGUACACACCGCCCGUCAAACCAUGAGAGUUGGCAACACCCGAAGUCGGUAGUCUAACCGCAAGGAGGACGCCGCCGAAGGUGGGGUUGAUGAUUAGGGUUAAGUCGUAACAAGGUAGC
This 215-nucleotide ribosomal RNA is filed under the name uncultured bacterium. Its description in RNAcentral is "partial 16S ribosomal RNA". It matches the Rfam family "Bacterial small subunit ribosomal RNA", at positions 1285 to 1500 of the family's 1533-position model. The record is from RNAcentral.